RNAcentral lists this non-coding RNA (23 nucleotides) under Cricetulus griseus (Chinese hamster). The record is from RNAcentral. Lineage: Eukaryota; Metazoa; Chordata; Mammalia; Rodentia; Cricetidae.
ACCUGAGCUUGUCAUGGAAGUGG